GGCCCCGUCGUCUAGAGGCCUAGGACGCCGCCCUCUCAAGGCGGUAACGCGGGUUCGAAUCCCGUCGGGGCUACAA
RNAcentral lists this transfer RNA (76 nucleotides) under Tomitella fengzijianii. RNAcentral describes it as "Tomitella sp. HY188 tRNA-Glu". It matches the Rfam family "tRNA". From Rfam's summary of the family: Transfer RNA (tRNA) molecules are approximately 80 nucleotides in length. Their secondary structure includes four short double-helical elements and three loops (D, anti-codon, and T loops). The record is from RNAcentral. Lineage: Bacteria; Bacillati; Actinomycetota; Actinomycetes; Mycobacteriales.